GUAAGAGCCCACCGCACCUCCGGCGACGGAGGUGGCACGGUAAACCCCAUCCGGAGCAAGGCCAAAUAGGGAGGCGCUUGAGGGUGGCCCGCCCGAUGCCUCCGGGUAGGCCGCAGGAGGCGUCCGGCAACGGACGUCCCAGACCGAUGGCCAUCGGCCCUUAAGGGCUACAGAACCCGGCUUAUAGUCCCGCUCCCCCU
This 200-nucleotide RNase P RNA is filed under the name Candidatus Latescibacterota bacterium. Its description in RNAcentral is "partial RNase P RNA component class A". It matches the Rfam family "Bacterial RNase P class A", at positions 167 to 367 of the family's 367-position model. Rfam says of the family: Ribonuclease P (RNase P) is a ubiquitous endoribonuclease, found in archaea, bacteria and eukarya as well as chloroplasts and mitochondria. The record is from RNAcentral. Lineage: Bacteria; Pseudomonadati; Candidatus Latescibacterota.